RNAcentral lists this ribosomal RNA (491 nucleotides) under uncultured bacterium. RNAcentral describes it as "partial 16S ribosomal RNA". It matches the Rfam family "Bacterial small subunit ribosomal RNA", at positions 29 to 506 of the family's 1533-position model. The record is from RNAcentral.
AGUGAACGCUGGCGGUAGGCCUAACACAUGCAAGUCGAACGGCAGCACAGUAAGAGCUUGCUCUUACGGGUGGCGAGUGGCGGACGGGUGAGGAAUACAUCGGAAUCUACUUUUUCGUGGGGGAUAACGUAGGGAAACUUACGCUAAUACCGCAUACGACCUACGGGUGAAAGCAGGGGAUCUUCGGACCUUGCGCGAUUGAAUGAGCCGAUGUCGGAUUAGCUAGUUGGCGGGGUAAAGGCCCACCAAGGCGACGAUCCGUAGCUGGUCUGAGAGGAUGAUCAGCCACACUGGAACUGAGACACGGGCCAGACUCCUACGGGAGGCAGCAGUGGGGAAUAUUGGACAAGGGGCGCAAGCCUGAUCCAGCCAGACCGCGUGGGUGAAGAAGGCCUUCGGGUUGUAAAGCCCUUUUGUUGGGAAAGAAAAGCAGCAGGUUAAUACCCCGCUGUUCUGACGGUACCCAAAGAAUAAACACCGGCUAACUUCGU